GGCUGGUCCAAAGGCAGUGAGUUAUCUCAAAUGGUUCACAGUCAAUUACAGAUCGAACUCCUUGUUCUACUCUUUUCCCAUCUCUCACUACUGCACUUGACUAGUCUUAA
Papio anubis (olive baboon) is the source of this 110-nucleotide Y RNA. It matches the Rfam family "Y RNA". Rfam says of the family: Y RNAs are components of the Ro ribonucleoprotein particle (Ro RNP), in association with Ro60 and La proteins. The Y RNAs and Ro60 and La proteins are well conserved, but the function of the Ro RNP is not known. In humans the RNA component can be one of four small RNAs -- hY1, hY3, hY4 and hY5. Lineage: Eukaryota; Metazoa; Chordata; Mammalia; Primates; Cercopithecidae. The record is from Ensembl.